GAUGAAGAACGUAGCGAAAUGCGAUAAGUAAUGUGAAUUGCAGAAUUCAGUGAAUCAUCGAGUCUUUGAACGCACAUUGCGCCCCCUGGUAUUCCGGGGGGCAUGCCUGUCCGAGCGUCAUUGCUGCCCUCAAGCACGGCUUGUGUGUUGGGCCCCGUCCUCCGAUCCCGGGGGACGGGCCCGAAAGGCAGCGGCGGCACCGCGUCCGGUCCUCGAGCGUAUGGGGCUUUGUCACCCGCUCUGUAGGCCCGGCCGGCGCUUGCCGAUCAACCCAAAUUUUUAUCCAGGUUGACCUCGGAUCAGGUAGGGAUACCCGCUGAACUUAAGCAUAUCAAUAAGUGGAGGA
RNAcentral lists this unclassified non-coding RNA (346 nucleotides) under soil metagenome. RNAcentral's name for it is "partial contains 5.8S ribosomal RNA, internal transcribed spacer 2, and large subunit ribosomal RNA". The stretch from base 1 to 120 matches the Rfam family "5.8S ribosomal RNA", at positions 35 to 154 of the family's 154-position model. The record is from RNAcentral.